Molecule: long non-coding RNA, 954 nt
Organism: Hemicordylus capensis (graceful crag lizard)
Lineage: Eukaryota; Metazoa; Chordata; Lepidosauria; Squamata; Cordylidae
Exons: 4
Source: RefSeq, a predicted model, not a curated record
UCUGUGUCAUCUAGGAGAUCUCCUCGGUCUGGUAGUUUCUGUGCCCUUAUAUUUUCAAGAUCAUGGACUGUACUUAUUUUGUAUGCAGACCAAAGAGGGAGAUUUGGGAAAUGUAUAUACAUAGAUCUAAGAAAGCAGGAAGGAACGCGGUGCUCUAUGGAUGAAAUCCAACUCCCCCGUGUAUGUCUGUUUACUCGGAAAGAACUCCUCGGUAUUCAGUUGAACUUAUUCCCAGAGCUUGCAGGUUCUGCUCUAGAGCUCCUGAAUGGAGGACGCAAACCGGGGUGUUCAAACGAGCCAACGGACUCCACCUGAUUCGGAGUCCAUCUGGAGCAGUCCCCACUCCGCCCGAGUUCGGAUAAGUCGGCUUCGGAGUGACCCCGUUUCGGAUUUCGACGACGCGUUUCUGAAACACACCACCUUAAGGAGCUACGAACAUGGAAGGGGGCUUCCUGCCGGACGUUUACAGCGCCAUCAUGCUUACUCAGAAGUAAGCCCCACUGAAUGCAAUGUCUCUUAUUCCAUACCUGUUCAAAGGGGGCUUUGGGCCGCCUGUCGUGGGCUGACAAUAGCCGCCGAGCCCCACUCUAGGAAUCGACAAUCACUUCACAGCUGCUGCUUUAUUUCCCCACUUUCCGAGCCCUCGACCAAAAAGAAAGAAAGAAAAGGCAGAAAGGGGAAGGGGGAAAAAAAAAUCCCCCCUGCUCUCCAAAAGAUCUCUUCAAACCCGCGCUCCAGAAGUUAUGAAAUAUGUCCUUGUGCCGCACUGAUUUCGCGUGGGGAGAAGACAAGAAAACGUCCAGGAAAAAGAAAGAGAAAAGGCAGAAAACUUUCGGAGGGGUGCUUUCGACCCCCACCCCCCGCCCCCGCCCCCGCCCCCAGCUCCUUUUGGCAUUCUCUGCUCAGCUCGAGGUUUCAUUCGCAAAAGGCCCGGAGUGUGAAAGGCCUCCAUUG